AUUGAACGCUGACGGCAUGCUUAACACAUGCAAGUCGAACGGCAGCACGAACUAGUUUACUAGUUGGGUGGCGAGUGGCGGACGGGUGAGUAACGCGUAGGAAUAUACCUUGAAGUGGGGGAUAACUUGGGGAAACGUCAAGCUAAUACCGCAUGAGCUCUGAGGAGGAAAGCUGGGGACCGCAAGGCCUGGCGCUUUAAGAAUAGCCUGCGUCUGAUUAGCUAGUUGGUAGGGUAAAGGCCUACCAAGGCGACGAUCAGUAGCUGGUCUGAGAGGAUGAUCAGCCACACUGGGACUGAGACACGGCCCAGACUCCUACGGGAGGCAGCAGUAGGGAAUAUUGGACAAUGGGGGCGAACCCUGAUCCAGCCAUGCCGCGUGAGUGAAGAAGGCCCUCGGGUUGUAAAGCUCUUUUGUCCGGAAGAAAAGCAAUCGGUUAAUACCCGGUUGUUCUGACGGUACCGGAAGAAUAAGCACCGGCUAACUUCGUGCCAGCAGCC
This 500-nucleotide ribosomal RNA is filed under the name uncultured bacterium. RNAcentral's name for it is "bacterial SSU rRNA". It matches the Rfam family "Bacterial small subunit ribosomal RNA", at positions 30 to 516 of the family's 1533-position model. The record is from RNAcentral.